Molecule: long non-coding RNA, 1844 nt
Filed under: Mus musculus (house mouse)
Lineage: Eukaryota; Metazoa; Chordata; Mammalia; Rodentia; Muridae
Description: predicted gene, 36855
Source: RNAcentral
GCUCUCUGGUGCUUCUCAGAGUUCACACUGUUGAUAGAAAGGAGGGGCCCUCACCGAUCCCUAAUUUACUUCAAACUUUAUUAACUGUUAAAACGUGGCUGGGGAAGGCGAACCUGAGGAGGUGAACCCAUAGCCCAUGUGUGGGAACACAGGCUCUUCCAGCUCUCUGUACUGACAGCAGGGGGCAGGGGAUGGGUGUCAAUGCAGGCUGAUAUUUUACUUUCUACAGAACCUCUGGUAACAUUUUAACUUCCCUAAGCUUCAGUUUCCUCAUCUGCCAGUGGAAGCCAGUGACAUUGUCAGUGUCCCUGGACAAGUAAGGGAGUUCACAAGGCACCGGUCUGUGGAAAUCCCUGGCUAGUCACUGUCAUCACAGCCACUAGUCCAUAGAUGACGUCUCCCUAGGGGAACAUCACUAUUAUCUUUAAAAUGUAGUCAUGCAUCACUCUUCCCUCUCAGGUCCAUCCUGUCAUCUGGGAAAGAGGGCUGAGGACUGGAUUUUACAUGCCAUGUUCCAUUGGCAUGGGCUGAACCACUACUGUUUAUUGAGCAAUGCACACAGGUGAUGAUGACCAAGACAGACAGACACUCUAGUUCUACCAACCUCGCUAUCUGUAUUAGUGACUUUUCGUCUUGAUGCAACAAAAUACCCAUCAAAGGAACUUAAUGGAAGGAAGGGCUUGUCCUGGCUCACAGUUCAAGGGUCCCCCCUCCUUCUGCUCUGCUGGCGCUCGACCCAGAAGGCAGAGUCUCUCAAUCAAGCCAGAGCCCACCAUUUGGCUGGUAUUGCUUCUCAACUUAUUCUAGGAACCUCCCUAAGCACGGAUCUAUCUCUAUUUCCUGUUUCUUCUUGGUCUUUUUGAGGUAGAGUCUCACUAUAUAGUCCAAAUUGGCCUGUUCCUGCCUCUGGGUGACUGGGGUUCCAUAUGUAGACCAUUAAGACUGCUUUUGCUGUCGUUUUAAAAGCUCCAAACAGCCUCAGUUUCCCUCUCUGGGAAACGAGGGUAAUGGUGCCUCCUGUAUCAGGCUAUGAUGGCGGUGGAAAGAUUCUGUGAUAACUUCACAGAGCCCGGCCAGAUGACAGCUGGUCCUGUGAUUGCAAGCAGGCAUGCCCUAGGGAGGAGGUGGUAGUUAAAGACCUGUUCUCGGGGAUCAACUGGAAAGCACACAGAACCCCCGAAGUAGCUGGCCCAGCUGAGCCCCACUCUCUUUACCACAUCCCUUCUCUCCUUCACUGAGGCUUAGGACCUCUAUCUCUAGAUAGUUCUAGUUCUUUCUCUGUAAUAAAUAUUUGUCAUCUGCAGCCUUAAUCAAUCACAGUGAGAGGCAUAUCUGUGAAGUGUGCAGCCAAGGUCCUUGGAAGGUCCUGGAGGCGAAGUUGGAGAGGAAGUACUGGCCUGAGGCCAAGGGCAGCAAAGAGUGAAAAGGGGCCGGGGACAGUGUACAGAGCAGUGGCUGGCUUGUCUCCACUAUCAGACUUUACUCCAGGAGGAGGCAGAGGCCGUGUGAGAGCCGUGCCGCUUCACCUGGCUCCUGACCUAUAUUGGAAGUGACAAACACGGGCUCCGAAAUGCUUACAAGGCACCUUGCCGGCAAGCACUGUGAAGUGAAAAUGAGACUAGAUGCUGAGCAAGUCCCACAAACUGUGUGCCCAAGCUCUGGACAGAGCAGAUAGACACAGUCUUCCUCUGAACUAUGCUUGCUGCAGUCCCUCCACCAGCAUGGAGAAGAAGCUCACAAGGACUGUCCUUCAAGCCUAUAUCCAUGCUCAGCUGUGCCAGCAUCUCUGGGCCUCAGGAACACCGAAGUCCUCAUUCUGAGCCAGGUAGGCCCACACAUGUCCC